UACGAAGGGGGCUAGCGUUGUUCGGAAUUACUGGGCGUAAAGGGCGCGUAGGCGGCGUGUCAAGUCAGGCGUGAAAGCCCCGGGCUCAACCUGGGAACCGCGCUUGAGACUGGCAUGCUCGAGUUCGGGAGAGGAUGGUGGAAUUCCCAGUGUAGAGGUGAAAUGCGUAGAUAUCUGGAGGAGCACCGGUGGCGAAGGCGGCAUCCUGGACCGGUAUUGACGCUGAGGCGCGAAAGCCAGGGGAGCAAACGGG
RNAcentral lists this ribosomal RNA (253 nucleotides) under uncultured bacterium. RNAcentral's name for it is "partial 16S ribosomal RNA". It matches the Rfam family "Bacterial small subunit ribosomal RNA", at positions 524 to 776 of the family's 1533-position model. The record is from RNAcentral.